UUGCUAUGAUGAUGCUUUCAGUGGUUGAUGGCGUUCAUCGAAUGCUUGAUGAAACUUCGACAACCAUGUCGAUCCUGAGCGGUUACCUGAGCAA
Small nucleolar RNA from Corylus avellana, 94 nucleotides. RefSeq annotates it as small nucleolar RNA snoR128. The record is from RefSeq and is a predicted model, not a curated record. Lineage: Eukaryota; Viridiplantae; Streptophyta; Magnoliopsida; Fagales; Betulaceae.